UACGUAGGGUCCGAGCGUUGUCCGGAAUUACUGGGCGUAAAGAGCUCGUAGGUGGUUUGUCGCGUUGUUCGUGAAAACUCACAACUCAAUUGUGGGCGUGCGGGCGAUACGGGCAGACUUGAGUACUGCAGGGGAGACUGGAAUUCCUGGUGUAGCGGUGGAAUGCGCAGAUAUCAGGAGGAACACCGGUGGCGAAGGCGGCCAUCUGGCGAGACACUGACGCUAAGGCGCGAAAGCGUGGGUAGCAAACAGG
Molecule: ribosomal RNA, 253 nt
Filed under: uncultured bacterium
Lineage: Bacteria
Description: partial 16S ribosomal RNA
Rfam family: Bacterial small subunit ribosomal RNA
Source: RNAcentral